AGUGAACGCUGGCGGUAUGCCUAAUACAUGCAAGUCGAACGGCAGGACAGUAAGAGCGUGCCCUUACGGUUGGCGAGGGGCGGAUGAGUGAGGAAUACAUCAGAAUCUUCUUUUUCGGGGAUGAUAACGGAGGAAAAGUGACGCUAAUAGCUCAUACGAUGUACGGGUGAAAUCAGGAGAGCUUCGCACUUUUCGCGAUUGAUUGAGCCGGCUCCGGGUUAGCUAGUUGGUAGGGUAAAGGCCCACCAAGGCAACGAUCCGUAGCCGGCCGGAGAGGAUGGUCGGCCACACGGGAACUGAGACACGGUCCAGACUCCUACGGGAGGCAGCAGUAGGGAAUCUUCCGCAAAGGGCGAAAGCCUGACGGAGCAACGCCGCGUGAGUGAUGAAGGUCUUCGGAUCGUAAAACUCUGUUAUUAGGGAAGAACAAAUGUGUAAGUAACUAUGCACGUCUUGACGGUACCUAAUCAGAAAGCCACGGCUAACUACGUG
Molecule: ribosomal RNA, 492 nt
Filed under: uncultured bacterium
Lineage: Bacteria
Description: partial 16S ribosomal RNA
Rfam family: Bacterial small subunit ribosomal RNA
Source: RNAcentral